Molecule: long non-coding RNA, 482 nt
Organism: Amphimedon queenslandica
Lineage: Eukaryota; Metazoa; Porifera; Demospongiae; Haplosclerida; Niphatidae
Exons: 3
Source: RefSeq, a predicted model, not a curated record
CUGGACCUGAGAAUUUGGAUAUCUGUCCCUUAACUCUCUCACUGUGGAAGGCAAUGGGAAACACUCGUGUGGACUAAAUUGUGUUUUUUUACCUUGUUACUGUGAUGACAGUGUCCGGGGGACCAGGGGAUGUCUUUUUAAAAGAUUUUUGUGGUUUGUAGACUAAAAGAAGAUGGGGAAUUUGAGACUCUGAAGGAUUUCUACAGAUAAUGGGCCAAUGUCCAGGUGUACAAGCCUCAAAGAGAAAGCAAGUAAUUGGUUCACUGGAUCUGAUAUCCUGACAACUAACAAACAAUCUUACCUUUGAGACAAUAUUAGAGAGAGAGAGGGAGAGAGAGAUAGUGGGAGGAUAUCAUAUUUAAUCCUAUAAUUCAAAUCACAUGCUUGCAUAUAAUAAUAAUAAUAAUAUAGUGUGACAUUUCUCUUGUAUGGAUGUUAUGUGUGUGUAUAUUAUUGGGCAAUGGACCUUGAGGUACACAGAG